RNAcentral lists this microRNA precursor (82 nucleotides) under Octodon degus (degu). RNAcentral's name for it is "microRNA 208a (ENSODEG00000022390.1)". It matches the Rfam family "mir-208 microRNA precursor family". The record is from RNAcentral. Lineage: Eukaryota; Metazoa; Chordata; Mammalia; Rodentia; Octodontidae.
UUCCUGUGACGGGCGAGCUUUUGGCCCGGGUUAUACCUGAUGCUCACGUAUAAGACGAGCAAAAAGCUUGUUCGUCAGAGGA